GGCAUGAGCAGCUGUUGAUGUAAACAAUGUUCACUUUUUGUUCUUGUUUUAUAACGUAUCAAAUUGUUUUUCAGCAUUCAGAUGUAACACUUCCCUAUGUGGCUUACAAGUCCAUCCAUCCCUUCCAAUUCAUUCGGAAAGUGGUUCCUAAAGGUUAUAAUACACUUUAAAAAAAAACCGCAGGGUUUGUUUUCUACAAAACCAAAUUAUUAUCUAUAAAACCAAACAGGCCUGCA
Long non-coding RNA from Hippocampus zosterae (dwarf seahorse), 236 nucleotides. RefSeq lists it as uncharacterized. NCBI's taxonomy places the organism in Eukaryota, Metazoa, Chordata, Actinopteri, Syngnathiformes, Syngnathidae. The record is from RefSeq and is a predicted model, not a curated record. The transcript has 2 exons.